RNAcentral lists this ribosomal RNA (541 nucleotides) under beta proteobacterium Ana4. RNAcentral describes it as "bacterial SSU rRNA". It matches the Rfam family "Bacterial small subunit ribosomal RNA", at positions 382 to 916 of the family's 1533-position model. The record is from RNAcentral. Lineage: Bacteria; Pseudomonadati; Pseudomonadota; Betaproteobacteria.
CCUGAUCCAGCAAUGCCGCGUGUGCGAAGAAGGCCUUCGGGUUGUAAAGCACUUUUGUCAGGGAAGAAAUCCUUUGGGCUAAUACCCUAGGGGGAUGACGGUACCUGAAGAAUAAGCACCGGCUAACUACGUGCCAGCAGCCGCGGUAAUACGUAGGGUGCAAGCGUUAAUCGGAAUUACUGGGCGUAAAGCGUGCGCAGGCGGUUGUGUAAGACAGGUGUGAAAUCCCCGGGCUUAACCUGGGAAUUGCAUUUGUGACUGCACGACUAGAGUGUGUCAGAGGGGGGUGGAAUUCCACGUGUAGCAGUGAAAUGCGUAGAUAUGUGGAGGAACACCAAUGGCGAAGGCAGCCCCCUGGGAUAACACUGACGCUCAUGCACGAAAGCGUGGGGAGCAAACAGGAUUAGAUACCCUGGUAGUCCACGCCCUAAACGAUGUCAACUAGUUGUUGGGGAUUUACUUCCUUGGUAACGUAGCUAACGCGUGAAGUUGACCGCCUGGGGAGUACGGCCGCAAGGUUAAAACUCAAAGAAUUUGACGG